RNAcentral lists this transfer RNA (53 nucleotides) under Meloidogyne enterolobii. Its description in RNAcentral is "tRNA-Glu". Lineage: Eukaryota; Metazoa; Nematoda; Chromadorea; Rhabditida; Meloidogynidae. The record is from RNAcentral.
UAAUUUUUAUUAUAUUUAGUAUAUUUAUUUUUCAUGUAAAAGGAAAAAAUUAU